CCGGGGCAUCCCGGAGGCAGGAAAGGCUUCGGCCGGACAGGGAUGGGCAUGCGGCGCAUUAGGCAGUAGGCGGGGUAACGGCCCACCUAACCGACGAUGCGUAGGGGUUCUGAGAGGAAGGUCCCCCACACUGGUACUGAGACACGGACCAGACUCCUACGGGAGGCAGCAGUGAGGAAUAUUGGUCAAUGGUCGGGAGACUGAACCAGCCAAGCCGCGUGAGGGAUGAAGGUACAGAGUAUCGUAAACCUCUUUUGUCAGGGAACAAAGGCGGGGACGUGUCCCCGGAUGAGUGUACCUGAAGAAAAAGCAUCGGCUAACUCCGUGCCAGCAGCCGCGGUAAUACGGAGGAUGCGAGCGUUAUCCGGAUUUAUUGGGUUUAAAGGGUGCGCAGGCGGUCUGUUAAGUCAGCGGUCAAAGCCCGGGGCUCAACCCCGGCCCGCCGUUGAAACUGGCAGUCUCGAGUUGGAGAGAAGUAUGCGGAAUGCGCGGUGUAGCGGUGAAAUGCAUAGAUAUCGCGCAGAACUCCGAUUGCGAAGGCAGCAUGCCGGCUCCACACUGACGCUGAGGCACGAAAGCGUGGGUAUCGAACAGGAUUAGAUACCCUGGUAGUCCACGCAGUAAACGAUGAAUGAAGGCUGUCCGGG
RNAcentral lists this ribosomal RNA (647 nucleotides) under uncultured bacterium. RNAcentral's name for it is "bacterial SSU rRNA". It matches the Rfam family "Bacterial small subunit ribosomal RNA", at positions 183 to 828 of the family's 1533-position model. The record is from RNAcentral.